AUUGAACGCUGGCGGCAUGCCUUACACAUGCAAGUCGAACGGUAACGGGCCUUCGGGUGCCGACGAGUGGCGAACGGGUGAGUAAUGCAUCGGAACGUACCUUUCAGUGGGGGAUAACGUAGCGAAAGUUACGCUAAUACCGCAUAUUCUGUGAGCAGGAAAGCAGGGGAUCGCAAGACCUUGCGCUGAUUGAGCGGCCGAUGUCAGAUUAGCUAGUUGGCAGGGUAAUGGCCUACCAAGGCUGCGAUGGUUAGCUGGUCUGAGAGGAUGGCCAGCCACACUGGAACUGAGACACGGUCCAGACUCCUACGGGAGGCAGCAGUGAGGAAUCUUGCGCAAUGGGGGAAACCCUGACGCAGCAACGCCGCGUGAGUGAGGAAGGCCUUCGGGUCGUAAAGCUCUGUCAGAUGGGAAGAAAUGGGGUGGGGGCUAAUAUCGCCCAUCCUUGACGGUACCAUCAGAGGAAGCACCGGCUAACUCCG
RNAcentral lists this ribosomal RNA (482 nucleotides) under uncultured bacterium. Its description in RNAcentral is "bacterial SSU rRNA". It matches the Rfam family "Bacterial small subunit ribosomal RNA", at positions 30 to 505 of the family's 1533-position model. The record is from RNAcentral.